RNAcentral lists this ribosomal RNA (407 nucleotides) under uncultured bacterium. Its description in RNAcentral is "bacterial SSU rRNA". It matches the Rfam family "Bacterial small subunit ribosomal RNA", at positions 356 to 773 of the family's 1533-position model. The record is from RNAcentral.
GGGGAAUAUUGCACAAUGGGCGGAAGCCUGAUGCAGCAACGCCGCGUGAGGGAUGACGGCCUUCGGGUUGUAAACCUCUUUUAGCAGGGAAGAAGCUUUCGGGUGACGGUACCUGCAGAAAAAGCACCGGCUAACUACGUGCCAGCAGCCGCGGUAAUACGUAGGGUGCAAGCGUUAUCCGGAAUUAUUGGGCGUAAAGAGCUCGUAGGCGGUUUGUCGCGUCUGCUGUGAAAUUCCGAGGCUCAACCUCGGGCUUGCAGUGGGUACGGGCAGACUAGAGUGCGGUAGGGGAGAUUGGAAUUCCUGGUGUAGCGGUGGAAUGCGCAGAUAUCAGGAGGAACACCGAUGGCGAAGGCAGAUCUCUGGGCCGUAACUGACGCUGAGGAGCGAAAGGGUGGGGAGCAAAC